This 48-nucleotide non-coding RNA is filed under the name unclassified sequences. Its description in RNAcentral is "ssnA RNA". It matches the Rfam family "ssnA RNA". The record is from RNAcentral.
UAUUUGAUGACUGUUACGAAGUGUUGCGCAUACGGGUCAUUUCCUGCU